Molecule: long non-coding RNA, 1030 nt
Filed under: Heterocephalus glaber (naked mole-rat)
Lineage: Eukaryota; Metazoa; Chordata; Mammalia; Rodentia; Bathyergidae
Description: lncRNA (ENSHGLG00000037443.1)
Source: RNAcentral
GCCGGGCGCUGGACUAUGACGUCACGCGUCCCCACGUCUAUAUUUCAGCAAUGGGCGGGGCUCCAAGUGUCCACGCUCUGAGGAGAGUUGGCGACAGGUCCUAGGCCGUGAGUUAACACUGGGGAUUUGGACCCAGGACUUUGUCCUGUGUGACAGCCAAGCACUCUACUACUGAGCUACACUCCCUGCCCAACCUCAAGUACUUCGUUAAUGUCUUCAGAAGAUUGGCCUGCUUUGGAAUAUCAAAUACCUCCUCUUUGGAGGGGAAGGAAGAUGAAAGCAAUGACAUCCACACUCCCCCAGAGCAUCUCCCCAGCACAGCCUGAGCUCUUGCAAUGGGGUUUUGUCGGGAGAGCUCAUCACCUGGAGUGGUCAGGAGGGCUCAGUCACUGUGCGGUCACUGGGGGAGAAGACCUCGUGGCUUCAGCCUAGCCUGCUGAGGAAGCUCUUGGAGUCAGGGUGUCAGAGGGCUGAGACCCCACAGGAAGUGCAGAGCCGGAUGGGAAGGAGAGGUGACCACAUCCUGCAUUUCUCUGUGGUUCCCCCAGGAACCAGUACUAGGAAUUGAGCUCAGGACCUUGUGCUUGCCAGCAGCAGGCCAGAGUUUGAUUCCUGGCACACCCCUACCCCCAUUGCAGUAAUUAUGAGGCUAAUGGUUGCCAUAUUGGCCAAUGCAGUUCCAAUAAAUCCACCCUCAGCACCCUCCAUGGAGAACACACAAGGAAAGGUCAUCCCGAGGUCAAACAGGUGCGGUGCAUGGAGGCCCAGGCCUGUAACUCUAGCACCCUGGAGGCUGAGGCAGGAGGAUCCUCAUGAGUUUGAGGCCAGCCUGGGCUACGUAGUGAAUACAAGGCUAGUCUGAACUACAUAGAGACCUUGUCUCAACAAAACAAAACAAAAACCAAGGUCAAGCAGUGGGCGUGUCAGAGGCCAUGUCUUACUUGAGCAGGUAGGGCCUUUGGUGGACACAAAGGUGAGAGGUCGCCAACAGUACUCCUGAUGUGCUCCACAUCUGGACAGUGGCUGGGAG